RNAcentral lists this ribosomal RNA (253 nucleotides) under uncultured bacterium. RNAcentral describes it as "partial 16S ribosomal RNA". It matches the Rfam family "Bacterial small subunit ribosomal RNA", at positions 524 to 776 of the family's 1533-position model. The record is from RNAcentral.
UACGAAGGGGGCUAGCGUUGUUCGGAAUUACUGGGCGUAAAGGGUGUGUAGGUGGUUUAGUACGUCAGAAGUGAAAUCCCCAGGCUCAACCUGGGAAUUGCUUUUGAGACUACUAGACUUGAGUACAGGAGAGGUGAGUGGAAUUCCCAGUGUAGAGGUAAAAUUCGUAGAUAUUGGGAGGAACACCAGUGGCGAAGGCGGCUCACUGGCCUGUAACUGACACUGAGACACGAAAGCGUGGGGAGCAAACAGG